GACGAACGCUGGCGGCGUGCUUAACACAUGCAAGUCGAACGAUGAAACCUAGCUUGCUAGGUCGAUUAGUGGCGAACGGGUGAGUAACACGUGACUAACCUGCCCCUUUCUCUGGGAUAACGCUCCGAAAGGAGUGCUAAUACCGGAUACUCACACCGAGGCACAUGCCUUGGCGUGGAAAGUUUUUCGGAAAGGGAUGGAGUCGCGGCCUAUCAGCUUGUUGGUGAGGUAACGGCUCACCAAGGCGACGACGGGUAGCCGGCCUGAGAGGGCGACCGGCCACACUGGGACUGAGACACGGCCCAGACUCCUACGGGAGGCAGCAGUGGGGAAUAUUGCACGAUGGGCGCAAGCCUGAUGCAGCGACGCCGCGUGAGGGAUGAGGGUCUUCGGAUUGUAAACCUCUUUCAGUAGGGACGAAGCGAAAGUGACGGUACCUAAAGAAGAAGCACCGGCUAACUACGUGCCAGCCGCCGCGGUAA
This 482-nucleotide ribosomal RNA is filed under the name uncultured bacterium. Its description in RNAcentral is "partial 16S ribosomal RNA". It matches the Rfam family "Bacterial small subunit ribosomal RNA", at positions 28 to 523 of the family's 1533-position model. The record is from RNAcentral.